GAUGAACGCUGGCGGCGUGCCUAAUACAUGCAAGUCGAGCGAACAGACGAGAAGCUUGCUCCUCUGAUGUUAGCGGCGGACGGGUGAGUAACACGUGGAUAACCUACCUAUAAGACUGGGAUAACUUCGGGAAACCGGAGCUAAUACCGGAUAAUAUUUUGAACCGCAUGGUUCAAUAGUGAAAGACGGUCUUGCUGUCACUUAUAGAUGGAUCCGCGCUGCAUUAGCUAGUUGGUAAGGUAACGGCUUACCAAGGCAACGAUGCAUAGCCGACCUGAGAGAAUCAUCGGCCAGGCAAGAAUUGAAACACGGACAAGAAGCCUGCGGACGGCUACAGUAGGGAGUUGUGCUAGAUGGGCUAAUGCCUGACGGAGGAUCGGCGCGAGAGGGAUGAAGAUCUUCGGAUCGGUAAACUCUAUUAUUAGAAAAGAACAUAUAAGUAGGUAACUGUUCACAUCGUGACGGAGGCUAAGCAGAGGGACAGGGCUAACUACAUG
This 497-nucleotide ribosomal RNA is filed under the name uncultured bacterium. RNAcentral describes it as "partial 16S ribosomal RNA". It matches the Rfam family "Bacterial small subunit ribosomal RNA", at positions 28 to 507 of the family's 1533-position model. The record is from RNAcentral.